This 496-nucleotide ribosomal RNA is filed under the name uncultured bacterium. RNAcentral's name for it is "partial 16S ribosomal RNA". It matches the Rfam family "Bacterial small subunit ribosomal RNA", at positions 28 to 526 of the family's 1533-position model. The record is from RNAcentral.
GACGAACGCUGGCGGCGCGCCUAACACAUGCAAGUCGCACGGGAUCUUUUAAGAAAGCUUGCUUUCUUGGCUGAUCUAGUGGCGGACGGGUGAGUAACACGUGAGCAACCUGCCCUACAGAGGGGGAUAACGUCUGGAAACGGACGCUAAUACCGCAUGAAAUACCGAGUGGGCAUCCACAUGGUAUCAAAGGAGAAAUCCGCUGUAGGAUGGGCUCGCGCCCGAUUAGGUAGUUGGUGGGGUAAAGGCCUACCAAGCCGACGAUCGGUAGCCGGACUGAGAGGUUGAACGGCCACAUUGGGACUGAGGCAAGGCCCGAAAUCCUGCGAGAGGCAGCAGUGGGGGACAUUGCACAAUGGGGGAAACCCUGGUGCAGCAACGCCGCGUGAAAGAAGAAGGCUUUCGGGUUGUACACUUCUGUGACCAGGGAAGAAACAAAUGACGGUACCUGGAAAACAAGCCACGGCUAACUACGUGCCAGCAGCCGCAGUAAGAC